RNAcentral lists this unclassified non-coding RNA (364 nucleotides) under Hevea brasiliensis (rubber tree). The record is from RNAcentral. Lineage: Eukaryota; Viridiplantae; Streptophyta; Magnoliopsida; Malpighiales; Euphorbiaceae.
UCUUCUUCAGAAAGGCGAAGCUCAAUGAUGCGUUUCCAUGCAUGAGCUGCUUUCCUCAGAGUGUUUUUAAACAGUUCCUUCCUGCUUAGCAUAACUCUGUUAUCCUUUCGAAAAGCUGGAUCGCUUGCGACGAGACGAGCCAUGCGAUCGGAGACAUCGAAGGCGUGGCGGGAACCAGCCCAGACGAUCUUCAUAUCGUCGACAUCGAAAUUCGCCUUGUUCCUCUCGUAAACCAAGUGAUCGACGCCCUCCAUCGUUGGUGAACGAAAUCCAACAACCUUGUUGCUGCAAUGUUAUCGGACUUGUGAGCAAUGUAAGAAAGGAGAAAAAAGCGUGUGAUGUAACAAACAGAUCUAUCUUUUCA